MicroRNA precursor from Astyanax mexicanus (Mexican tetra), 84 nucleotides. It matches the Rfam family "mir-194 microRNA precursor family". Rfam says of the family: The hairpin precursors (represented here) are predicted based on base pairing and cross-species conservation -- their extents are not known. NCBI's taxonomy places the organism in Eukaryota, Metazoa, Chordata, Actinopteri, Characiformes, Acestrorhamphidae. The record is from Rfam.
UGGUUGUGACUGCCUGUAACAGCAACUCCAUGUGGAAGUGAGUGAGUGUGUUCCAGUGGAGCUGCUGUUACCUGCAGACACUAA